Molecule: ribosomal RNA, 354 nt
Filed under: uncultured Smithella sp.
Lineage: Bacteria; Pseudomonadati; Thermodesulfobacteriota; Syntrophia; Syntrophales; Smithellaceae
Description: bacterial SSU rRNA
Rfam family: Bacterial small subunit ribosomal RNA
Source: RNAcentral
GGGAGACAGGUGGUGCAUGGUUGUCGUCAGCUCGUGUCGUGAGAUGUUGGUUAAGUCCCGCAACGAGCGCAACCCCUAUCUUUAAUUGCCAUCAUUCAGUUGGGCACUUUAGAGAGACUGCCGGUGUUAAGCCGGAGGAAGGUGGGGAUGACGUCAAGUCCUCAUGGCCUUUAUGUCUAGGGCUACACACGUGCUACAAUGGGUGGUACAAAGAGCAGCUAACUCGCGAGAGUAUGCAAAUCUACAAAAAGCCAUCCUCAGUUCGGAUUGGAGUCUGCAACUCGACUCCAUGAAGUUGGAAUCGCUAGUAAUCGCGGAUCAGCAUGCCGCGGUGAAUACCGGUUCCCGGGCCUU